Molecule: ribosomal RNA, 497 nt
Filed under: uncultured Streptococcus sp.
Lineage: Bacteria; Bacillati; Bacillota; Bacilli; Lactobacillales; Streptococcaceae
Description: partial 16S ribosomal RNA
Source: RNAcentral
CACAUAGUUAGCCGUCCCUUUCUGGUAAGAUACCGUCACAGUGUGAACUUUCCACUCUCACACUCGUUCUUCUCUUACAACAGAGCUUUACGAUCCGAAAACCUUCUUCACUCACGCGGCGUUGCUCGGUCAGACUUCCGUCCAUUGCCGAAGAUUCCCUACUGCUGCCUCCCGUAGGAGUCUGGGCCGUGUCUCAGUCCCAGUGUGGCCGAUCACCCUCUCAGGUCGGCUAUGUAUCGUCGCCUUGGUGAGCCGUUACCCCACCAACUAGCUAAUACAACGCAGGUCCAUCUGGUAGUGAUGCAAUUGCACCUUUUAAGCAAAUGUCAUGCAACAUCUACUCUUAUGCGGUAUUAGCUAUCGUUUCCAAUAGUUAUCCCCCGCUACCAGGCAGGUUACCUACGCGUUACUCACCCGUUCGCAACUCAUCCGGAGAAGCAAGCUCCUCCUUCAGCGUUCUACUUGCAUGUAUUAGGCACGCCGCCAGCGUUCGUCCG